UGAAUACGAGACGCUAAGGCGUUGAAGUAGUGUAUGUCAUACUUCCAAGAAAAGCUUGCACUGUCAUAGAUAAAAAACGCCUGUACCAUAACCGACACAGGUGGGUAGGUAGAGUAUACUAAGGGGCGCGAGAUAACUCUCUCUAAGGAACUCGGCAAAAUAAUUCCGUAACUUCGGGAGAAGGAGUGCCUUAUUUAUAAGGCUGCAAUAACAAGAUCCAAGCAACUGUUUAUCAAAAACACAGGUCUCCGCUAAGUCGUAAGACGAUGUAUGGGGGCUGACGCCUGCCCAGUGCCAGAAGGUUAAAGAAGUUGGUUAGCAAUAGCGAAGCUGAUAACUGAAGCCCUGGUGAACGGCGGCCGUAACAAUAACGGUCCUAAGGUAGCGAAAUUCCUUGUCGGGUAAGUUCCGACCCGCACGAAAGGCGUAAUGAUUUGGAUACUGUCUCGGAGAGGGGCUCGGUGAAAUAGACUUGUCUGUGAAGAUGCGGACUACCUGCACCAGGACAGAAAGACCCUAUGAAGCUUUACUGUAACUUGAAAUUGAAAUUGGACUUUAUUCGCGCAGUAUAGGUGGGAGGCGUUGAUUGUAAUCUUGCGGGAUUAUUGGAGCCAUCAGUGAGAUACCACCCUUGUAAUGUUAGAUUUCUAACUUUGAAUCAUUAUCUGGUCAAAGAACAGUUUCAGGCGGGCAGUUUGACUGGGGCGGUCGCCUCCUAAACGGUAACGGAGGCGUACAAAGGUCUCCUCUGAACGGUUAGAAAUCGUAUCUAGAGUGUAAAGGCAUAAGGAAGCUUGACUGUGAGACCUACAAGUCGAGCAGGGACGAAAGUCGGUCUUAGUGAUCUGACGGUACUGAGUGGAAAGGCCGUCACUCAACGGAUAAAAGUUACUCUAGGAUAACAGGCUGAUCUCCCCCAAGAGUUCACAUCGACGGGGAGGUUUGGCACCUCGAUGUCGGCUCAUCGCAUCCUGGGGCGGUAGUACGUCCCAAGGGUUGGGCUGUUCGCCCAUGAAAGCGGUACGCGAGCUGGGUUCAGAACGUCGUGAGACAGUUCGGUCCAUAUCCGGUGUAGGCGUUAGAAUAUUGAGAGGAGCCUUCUUUAGUACGAGAGGACCGAGAAGGACAUACCUCUGGUGUACCAGUUAUCGUGCCAACGGUAAACGCUGGGUAGCUAUGUAUGGAGUGGAUAACCGCUGAAAGCAUCUAAGUGGGAAGCCCACCUCAAGAUAAGUA
Molecule: ribosomal RNA, 1236 nt
Filed under: metagenome
Description: bacterial LSU rRNA
Rfam family: Bacterial large subunit ribosomal RNA
Source: RNAcentral